Molecule: non-coding RNA, 190 nt
Filed under: Candidatus Odyssella acanthamoebae
Lineage: Bacteria; Pseudomonadati; Pseudomonadota; Alphaproteobacteria; Holosporales; Candidatus Paracaedibacteraceae
Also listed under: 1 other name
Source: RNAcentral
ACUGAUAAAUGAAUCGAUGGUGCGUUGCUAACUCAACGCUUAAAAUAGGAAUCCGGUCCCAAGCCGGAGCUGCCCCCGCAACUGUAGGUGGUAAGUCAUAGGAUCAGCGCGUCACUGGUUAAAACCGGGAAGACGAUCUUAAUGAUGAUGACCCACAAGCCAGGAGACUUGCCGUCGGGAUUCAACACAU